This 122-nucleotide transfer RNA is filed under the name Chloroflexota bacterium. RNAcentral's name for it is "Chloroflexi bacterium (soil metagenome) tRNA-Lys". The record is from RNAcentral. Lineage: Bacteria; Bacillati; Chloroflexota.
GAGCUGGUGGAUGGGCGUGCCGCGUGGCAUGGACACGGGCGUCCUCGAGAGCACCCUGUGAACGUCGCCCGCUGAGACUUUUAAUCCUCGUGUCCUGGGUUCGAAUCCCAGCCGGCUCACCA